Molecule: ribosomal RNA, 800 nt
Filed under: Immersidiscosia eucalypti
Lineage: Eukaryota; Fungi; Ascomycota; Sordariomycetes; Amphisphaeriales; Sporocadaceae
Description: eukaryotic LSU rRNA
Rfam family: Eukaryotic large subunit ribosomal RNA
Source: RNAcentral
CUCAAAUUUGAAAUCUGGCCCUUGGGUCCGAAUUGUAAUUUGUAGAGGAUGAUUUUGGUGCGGUACCUUCCGAGUUCCUUGGAACAGGACGCCUUAGAGGGUGAGAGCCCCGUACGGUUGGAUGCCUAGCCUUUGUAAAUCUCCUUCGACGAGUCGAGUAGUUUGGGAAUGCUGCUCUAAAUGGGAGGUAAAUUUCUUCUAAAGCUAAAUACUGGCCAGAGACCGAUAGCGCACAAGUAGAGUGAUCGAAAGAUGAAAAGCACUUUGAAAAGAGGGUUAAAUAGCACGUGAAAUUGUUGAAAGGGAAGGAUUUAUGACCAGACUUUUUCUGGGCGGAUCAUCCGGUGUUCUCACCGGUGCACUUCGCCCAGUUUAGGCCAGCAUCGGUUUUCGGUGGGGGAUAAAAGCUUUAGGAAUGUGGCUCUUUCGGGAGUGUUAUAGCCUAUUGUAUAAUACCCUACUGGGGACCGAGGUACGCGCUUCUGCAAGGAUGCUGGCGUAAUGGUUAUCAAUCACCCGUCUUGAAACACGGACCAAGGAGUCGAACAUUUGUGCAAGUGUUUGGGUGUUAAACCCUCACGCGUAAUGAAAGUGAACGGAGGUGAGAGCCCUUACGGGUGCAUCAUCGACCGAUCCUGAUGUUUUCGGAUGGAUUUGAGUAAGAGCAUAACUGUUCGGACCCGAAAGAUGGUGAACUAUGCGUGGAUAGGGUGAAGCCAGAGGAAACUCUGGUGGAGGCUCGCAGCGGUUCUGACGUGCAAAUCGAUCGUCAAAUCUGCGCAUGGGGGCGAAAGACUAAU